This 3516-nucleotide unclassified non-coding RNA is filed under the name Hevea brasiliensis (rubber tree). Lineage: Eukaryota; Viridiplantae; Streptophyta; Magnoliopsida; Malpighiales; Euphorbiaceae. The record is from RNAcentral.
GGACACAUGCAUGUCACCCCUAUCAACGGUCUACAUCGUCUUAACUUUUUUAUGUGAUCACAUGCACCAUUAGAUCUUAAACCCCGAGCUAACCAUGGUUAAAGAUUUUGGUUACACAACUUUACCAUGGUUAGCUCAGCUGCUUCCCUGAGUUAAACUCAAAGCGCAAGUGUGUGUGUUUCUAAGAGAGAGAUAGGAGAGAUGAGCAAAGAAUCUGUACAUGGUCUCUCUCUGUAGCUUCAUUUCCUAUCAUUGGGUAUUAACAUCAUUGGAUUUUGAUUUGGUUGGCAAUUUCCAUUUAUGGAAGUCUCAGAUUCUUAGAUCUGUGUUCUUUGAUCUGUAUUUUAUCAACAUUUUUCCUUUUUUUUUUUCAAUUUCUGUAAUCAUCACUUUUUGAUUCAAACAUGAGCACUCAUAACCCAGCAGUGCAUUUUCCUUCACUUUCUUGGGAAAAUUUGACUUUUUUUUCUCUCUCGUCUCAUUUCUAAUAAUACCCAUUAGUUAUUUUUGCAUCUCCAGAUCUACUAUCUCGGCGUUUUACUUCUUAUUCAAGAUCUUGCUAAAAUUUUACAGUUUUAGAUCUGCGUUGUUUUCUGUAUCAGUAUCUUUCUAUUUUUUAUUUUCUAGAUUGAAUGUGUAUCGUCCCUUUUUGGUUAGGAGGAGGAAAAAAGAAUGAAUUAUUUCCCAGACGAGGUAUUAGAGCAUGUGUUCGAUUUUGUAACAUCAAGCAGAGACCGCAACGCGUUGUCUCAGGUUUGUAAAUCAUGGUACAGGAUCGAAAGCUCUAGCAGGCAGAAGGUGUUUAUAGGAAAUUGUUAUGCGAUCAGUCCAGAGAGAGUGAUUGAGAGGUUUCCUGCUCUAAAGUCUAUUGCUUUGAAGGGAAAACCUCAUUUCGCUGACUUCAACCUGGUCCCGCAUGAAUGGGGAGGCUUCGUUUACCCUUGGAUCGAAGCUUUCGCCCGGAACAGGGUCGGCUUGGAGGAGCUCCGGCUAAAGAGGAUGGUGGUUUCCGAUGACAGCUUGGAGUUGCUCUCAAGGUCUUUUGCCAAUUUUAAGUCUUUGGUUCUUGUUAGUUGUGAAGGGUUCACCACUGAUGGGCUAGCUGCUAUUGCUGCUAAUUGUAGGUUUCUUAGAGAGCUGGACCUGCAAGAAAAUGAAGUUGAGGAUCAUAGAGGCCAUUGGCUUAGUUGUUUCCAUGACAGCCAUACAUCUCUUGUAUCACUUAAUUUUGCUUGCCUCAAAGGAGAUAUUAAUUUAGGAGUUCUUGAGAGACUUGUAGCAAGAUCUCCAAAUCUCAGGAGUUUGAGGUUAAACCGUGCAGUUCCUCUUGAUACACUCCAAAAAAUAUUGAUGCAGUCGCCUAAUUUAGUGGACUUGGGUGUAGGAUCUUAUGUACAUGAUCCAGAUUCUGAAACCUACGAUAAAUUAGUGACUGCCAUUGAAAAGUGUAAAUCAGUCAGGAGUUUGUCAGGGUUUUUGGACGUUGCUCCUCACUGCCUACCAGCUUUUCACUCGAUUUGCCCAAACCUGACCUCCUUGAAUCUAAGUUAUGCUCCAGGAAUUCAAGGUGGUGAGCUUACAAAGCUAAUUCGCCACUGUAGGAAACUCCAGCGCUUAUGGGUAUGGCCUCAUAACUAACUUUUAGGAAACUCAAUGUUUUGCUUAUUUUUCAUCACAUAUGUAACAAUAUCUUUCACAAUGUUUGCAGAUACUAGACUGUAUUGGAGAUAAAGGACUAGAAGUUGUGGCAUCCACUUGUAAGGAUUUGCAGGAACUGAGGGUUUUCCCUUCGGAUCCCUACAUAGGACAUGCAGCAGUCACAGAAGAAGGCUUGGUUGCCAUUUCUAGUGGUUGUCCUAAGCUUCAUUCAAUUUUAUACUUCUGUCAGCAGAUGACAAAUGCAGCCCUCAUAACAGUGGCCAAGAACUGCCCCAAUUUUAUCCGCUUUAGGUUGUGCAUCCUGGAUCCCACAAAACCAGAUGCAGUGACUCAGCAGCCAUUGGAUGAAGGUUUUGGGGCUAUUGUUCAUUCAUGUAGGGGUCUCAGGCGGCUAUCACUUACUGGUCUCCUGACUGACCAAGUUUUCCUUUACAUUGGGAUGUAUGCUGAGCAACUUGAAAUGCUUUCAAUUGCAUUUGCUGGGGAUAGUGACAAGGGAAUGCAGUAUGUGUUAAAUGGUUGCAAAAGACUCCGCAAAUUAGAGAUCAGGGACAGUCCUUUCGGCAAUGGAGCACUUCUGAUGGACGUGGGAAAGUAUGAAGCAAUGCGAUCCCUUUGGAUGUCGUCCUGUGAAGUUACUCUUGGAGGCUGCAAGACCCUUGCAAAGAAGAUGCCACGGCUCAAUGUGGAGAUCAUGAACGAAAAUGAGCAGACAGAUUUUAUUUUUGAUGAUGCACAGAAAGUGGACAAGAUGUACCUAUAUCGGACAUUGGCAGGGCAACGGAAAGAUGCACCGGACUUUGUGUGGACUUUGUAGGUGAAUCUGGGGUGUAUCUUUCUGGCACUGCUGAAUAUUAUUUUCUUUGUUAUUAAGUGGUACUUUGUUAGGCUAGCUGAUUUUUCGGAUUUUUAGCCUGUUGGUUUUCUAGAGGCAUGCUACUCUUUAAUUUAUCAUAGAAUCUAUUUGUAAACUUUGUUAUUAUAAAUAGAACUUUGUUAGUAUAAAUAGAACUUUGUUAGUAUUGGCAAAAUCAGUCAGUUUCAGAUAUUUCUCUAGUAGAUGGAGGUGAAUCUGGUUACAAGGAAAUACCCAAGUGUCAUUAUGUUGAGAAAGUGGUGUGAAGAUUGGUUAGCUAUUCCAGCUUGUGACAUGUCUGCAUUUUUGCUGAGUACUCACCCUACAAAUCAUCACGAUGCUCCCCAGGCAGGAGUCAAGGAAGCUUAUCUUCUGAGUCCAUUGUCUGAAUGGGAAUGUUGGUCUUACGCGAGUGUUGUACCUAUUAAUACUUCGUUUGAAGGAGAAACAGUAGCCUGUUCCAGCGAACUAGUAUAGAAGAUAACAAUAUUCGGACGGUUGUCUUGCUGGUUGCAACCAUACGUAAUUGUGUAUUUAGGGCUGUGCUUUCCCCUCCAAAGGAUAGAUUUUGUAGACCUUAAUGCUAGUGGCUAGUGGAUUAAUAAGUUCUUAUCCAUUAGAUGCGGUCGUGCACCAGUCAUUUUGUAGAGGUAUUAUGGCCAUUGAUGAAAGAAAAUAAUGGUAAAUAGUCGAGUUAUCAAGAAAUUAUUUUGUGUAUUCAUUGUAUAUACGACAAAUUCAUCAUCACCAUGAGACUCAUGCAACUCAUCAGCAAUUGUACUUCAUAAUUUUCCUGAGUUCAUCAGACAGACACCUUUGACUGUGAACACCAGGCUUAUUACAGUAGAGUUGAGAAUAAGCCUUGAGAAGAAUUUACAAGGGUGCCUGAAUUGCAAUGAAAACAGGCAUGUCUAUUUCAAGUUUCUGAAUACAUGCAAAGAGUGGAGUGACUUCACUAGCCAAGCAAAACUAGCAGGAAACCUUCAUUUGUAACUUGGUAG